UUUCCGUAGGUGAACNUGCGGAAGGAUCAUUG
RNAcentral lists this ribosomal RNA (32 nucleotides) under Senecio aff. glaucophyllus CSL-2018. RNAcentral's name for it is "partial 18S ribosomal RNA". The record is from RNAcentral. Lineage: Eukaryota; Viridiplantae; Streptophyta; Magnoliopsida; Asterales; Asteraceae.